ACGCUCGACACCUACGGGAGGCAGCAGUGGGGAAUAUUGCACAAUGGGGGAAACCCUGAUGCAGCAACGCCGCGUGAAGGAAGACGGUUUUUCGGAUUGUAAACUUCUGUUCUUAGUGAAGAUAGUGACGGUAGCUAAGGAGCAAGCCACGGCUAACUACGUGCCAACAGCCGCGGUAAUCUGAGCGGCUGCAAGGC
This 197-nucleotide ribosomal RNA is filed under the name uncultured bacterium. Its description in RNAcentral is "partial 16S ribosomal RNA". It matches the Rfam family "Bacterial small subunit ribosomal RNA", at positions 328 to 535 of the family's 1533-position model. The record is from RNAcentral.